Cinara cedri is the source of this 305-nucleotide non-coding RNA. The record is from the annotation of a GenBank genome assembly. Lineage: Eukaryota; Metazoa; Arthropoda; Insecta; Hemiptera; Aphididae.
UAAAUAAUUGUUGACUCAUCGUAAUCAUUUUGUACAUUAGUCAAUUGUACCUGUGUGUCGAGGUUUCAGAAGGAUAAACCAUAAAGUAGGUAUACAGGUCGGGCAACUCACGGCCACGUAGAUGGGACAACUGUCCUUAUCAGUAGCUCCCUUAUUUAGGCGAAAACGUUUAAAACGGGAAGAAAAUAAAUGUCGUCAAUAUAAUAAUAUGUUGUUCGGCUUUUCAAUGUUUAUAUUCGCGUGCAACCAAUUGAAAAACUCGUUAAAUUUUAUCCGAUGUUCAAAUAAUAGUAUGCACUUAGAAU